GACGAACGCUGGCGGCGUGCUUAACACAUGCAAGUCGAGCGGUAAGGCCUCUUCGGGGGUACACUAGCGGCGAACGGGUGAGUAACACGUGGGUGACCUGCCGUCUGCACUGUGAUAAGCCUGGGAAACUGGGUAUAAUACCGGAUAUGACCUAUCCUCGCAAGGGGUUUGGGGGAGAGUUUUUUCGGCUGGGCAUGGCGCGCGGCCUCUCAGCUUGUUGGUGGGGUGAUGGCCUACCAAGGCGACGACGGGUAGCCGGCCUGAGAGGGCGACCGGCCACACUGGGACUGAGACACGGCCCAGAAGCAUACGGGAGGCAGCAGUGGGGAAUAGUGGGCAAUGGGCGGAAGCCAGGCGCAGCGACGCCGCGUGGGGGAGGACGGCCUUCGGGGUGUAAACCUCUUUCGACACCGACGAAUUUGGACGGUAGGGGUAGAAGAAGCACCGGCCAACUACGUG
RNAcentral lists this ribosomal RNA (459 nucleotides) under uncultured bacterium. Its description in RNAcentral is "partial 16S ribosomal RNA". It matches the Rfam family "Bacterial small subunit ribosomal RNA", at positions 28 to 507 of the family's 1533-position model. The record is from RNAcentral.